AAUUUUUUUAUUUGAAUGUGGUUCGGUAGGUGACUUAGUCACUUGAAAAUGGUUUAGUGUAGAAACUUUUAACGGAAUUUUUUUUGUUUUGAAUGUGCUUUGAUAGGUGAAUUAGUUUCUUCAAAAUGGUUAAGUGUAGGGACUUUUAAGGGGAUUUUUUUAUUUUGAAUGUGCUUUGGUAGGUGACUUCGUUGCUUGAAAAUGGCUAAGUGUAGGGACUUUAUAGGGGCAUUUUUUGUUUUGAAUGUGAUUUGGUAGUUGACUUAGUUGGUUGAAAA
RNAcentral lists this long non-coding RNA (278 nucleotides) under Capsicum annuum. Its description in RNAcentral is "long non-coding RNA (CANN_LNC012435)". The record is from RNAcentral. Lineage: Eukaryota; Viridiplantae; Streptophyta; Magnoliopsida; Solanales; Solanaceae.